AGAACGAACGCUGGCGGCAUGCCUAAUACAUGCAAGUCGAACGAUCACUUCGGUGGUAGUGGCGCACGGGUGCGUAACGCGUGGGAAUCUGCCCUUGGGUUCGGAAUAACAGUUGGAAACGACUGCUAAUACCGGAUGAUGACGUAAGUCCAAAGAUUUAUCGCCCAAGGAUGAGCCCGCGUAGGAUUAGCUAGUUGGUGAGGUAAAGGCUCACCAAGGCUACGAUCCUUAGCUGGUCUGAGAGGAUGAUCAGCCACACUGGGACUGAGACACGGCCCAGACUCCUACGGGAGGCAGCAGUAGGGAAUAUUGGACAAUGGGGGCAACCCUGAUCCAGCAAUGCCGCGUGAGUGAUGAAGGCCUUAGGUUGUAAAGCUCUUUUACCCGAGAUGAUAAUGACAGUAUCGGAGAAUAAGCUCCGGCUAACUCCGUGCCAGCAGCCGC
This 444-nucleotide ribosomal RNA is filed under the name uncultured soil bacterium. Its description in RNAcentral is "bacterial SSU rRNA". It matches the Rfam family "Bacterial small subunit ribosomal RNA", at positions 26 to 518 of the family's 1533-position model. The record is from RNAcentral.